UGCAGUCGAGCGGACCGACGGGAGCUUGCUCCCUUAGGUCAGCGGCGGACGGGUGAGUAACACGUGGGUAACCUGCCUGUAAGACUGGGAUAACUCCGGGAAACCGGGGCUAAUACCGGAUGCUUGAUUGAACCGCAUGGUUCAAUUAUAAAAGGUGGCUUUUAGCUACCACUUACAGAUGGACCCGCGGCGCAUUACCUAGUUGGUGAGGUAACGGCUCACCAAGGCGACGAUGCGUACCCAACCUGAAAGGGUGAUCGGCCACACUGGGACUGAAACACGGCCCAAACUCCUACGGGAGGCAGCAGUAGGGAAUCUUCCGCAAUGGACGAAAGUCUGACGGAGCAACGCCGCGUGAGUGAUGAAGGUUUUCGGAUCGUAAAACUCUGUUGUUAGGGAAAAACAAGUACCGUUCGAAUAGGGCGGUACCUUGACGGUACCUAACCAGAAAGCCACGGCUAACUACGUGCCAGCAGCCGCGGUAAUACGUAGGUGGCAAGCGUUGUCCGGAAUUAUUGGGCGUAAAGCGCGCGCAGGCGGUUUCUUAAGUCUGAUGUGAAAGCCCC
This 566-nucleotide ribosomal RNA is filed under the name Bacillus sp. UD2. RNAcentral describes it as "bacterial SSU rRNA". It matches the Rfam family "Bacterial small subunit ribosomal RNA", at positions 56 to 604 of the family's 1533-position model. The record is from RNAcentral. Lineage: Bacteria; Bacillati; Bacillota; Bacilli; Caryophanales; Bacillaceae.